This 16-nucleotide ribosomal RNA is filed under the name Pleurotus cystidiosus. RNAcentral describes it as "partial large subunit ribosomal RNA". RNAcentral also lists the same sequence under 3 other names. Lineage: Eukaryota; Fungi; Basidiomycota; Agaricomycetes; Agaricales; Pleurotaceae. The record is from RNAcentral.
AUUUGACCUCAAAUCA